UCUAAUCUUGUUUUUGAUUUUGAAGAGUUCACAUCGGGGACUUUUUUACUGAUAAGGGAAAAACUUAUUUUAGUUAGUGCAUCAUUUCCAAAUGUUUUUCUGAACCAUUCACAACAUGAAGCUGUUUCUGCUUAUUUCAUUACUAAUUUCAAUUAUGUGGAACUCGUUUGUUGCUGGAGAUUGCCUGACGGAUCCCCUGACAAUGCUUUGCAUUUUGAACCCAAAUCAGGGAAAAUAACUUUGUGUAUCCCUCUUCAAUAAAGCACAAAAGUGGAACACGAUGUGGGCUUCUUUAUUCUAAGUAAUUCAGCAUUCUCCCCAGACUGAGUUACGUGUGGCAAAUCGCAUUAAACAUUCCACGCCCCCCUUCCCAACA
Molecule: non-coding RNA, 376 nt
Organism: Drosophila suzukii
Lineage: Eukaryota; Metazoa; Arthropoda; Insecta; Diptera; Drosophilidae
Source: RefSeq, a predicted model, not a curated record